Molecule: ribosomal RNA, 744 nt
Filed under: uncultured bacterium
Lineage: Bacteria
Description: bacterial SSU rRNA
Rfam family: Bacterial small subunit ribosomal RNA
Source: RNAcentral
AGAGUUUGAUCAUGGCUCAGAACGAACGCUGGCGGCAUGCCUAAUACAUGCAAGUCGAACGCGUGGAGCAAUCCACGAGUGGCGGACGGGUGAGUAACGCGUGGGAACCUGCCCUGGAGUGCGGAAUAACCGAGGGAAACUUCGGCUAAUACCGCAUACGACCUACGGGUGAAAGAUUUAUCGCUCUAGGAGGGGCCCGCGUCGGAUUAGCUAGUUGGUGGGGUAACGGCCUACCAAGGCUACGAUCCGUAGCUGGUCUGAGAGGAUGAUCAGCCACACUGGGACUGAGACACGGCCCAGACUCCUACGGGAGGCAGCAGUAGGGAAUAUUGGACAAUGGGGGCAACCCUGAUCCAGCAAUGCCGCGUGGGUGAUGAAGGCCUUAGGGUUGUAAAGCCCUUUCGGCGGGGACGAUGAUGACGGUACCCGCAGAAGAAGCCCCGGCUAACUUCGUGCCAGCAGCCGCGGUAAUACGAAGGGGGCGAGCGUUGUUCGGAAUUACUGGGCGUAAAGGGCGCGCAGGCGGCUCUUCAAGUCAGGCGUGAAAGCCCCGGGCUUAACCUGGGAAUUGCGCUUGGGACUGAAGAGCUCGAGUUCGGGAGAGGAGAGUGGAAUUCCCAGUGUAGAGGUGAAAUUCGUAGAUAUUGGGAAGAACACCGGUGGCGAAGGCGGCUCUCUGGACCGAUACUGACGCUGAGGCGCGAAAGCGUGGGGAGCAAACAGGAUUAGAUACCCCGGUAGUCC